UGUGAAUGUAGGCAGCCUAAUAUAGGAGGUAGAGACUCUAUGCCUUCCUUGAUGGAAAAAUUGCAGCACGACUUUGUUCUCUUUUGUAUUAGUUAAUCAUCAAUGUAGAGAACUCUCAUCACAACAUAUAAACUGAUUCAAAGUACCAGUGCUUCGUCAUGGCUGCCUCCUCUUCACCAGACAAUAAUACAAAAGCUCCAUGUCCCUGCUACCUGUUAACAAACAGAGGCUCAGGGAUAAAAGUGAUGGCGGGCUCCAGAGCCCCUUAUACAGCAGGCUGUUGGCAUCGCGUGCAUUUUUGGCAACAGGCAAAGCACGGGAGCCAUUGCAAACCUGGGCUAGAGCUGAAGACUGCUAAAUCCCACUCUUCUGUUCUGGUUACCAUCUCACACUGAUCGAGAGUGAACACAGCACUGCCAAAGAAGGAUGGAAACAUCACCUGAGUGUGGUAAGAAGCCAGAAAUAUCUGGCCAUCCUGCCUGCUGUGCCUCAUCGGCCUGGCACCGCAGCCCUAUCUCUGUGCGUUGGGUUUUUGCGACCAUCACAGCAGCACUUCAGACAGCAGAAGGCUUCUGGAGCCAUUCCUUGGUGACAGCAGUGCUGCUCCCAGCCCGUGCAACGUGCUUCAUCACAACAUGCUUAAUAUGAUCUGCGAGAUUUGGAAAUCACAACGCUUCUUCUCGCUUUCUGAGUUCACCAGGCCAAAAACGAAAUCUUCUGUAUUAUCCAGUCAUCUCCUUGUUUUCUCACUCUUUAUUCUUUGGAAACCAAUAUUUUCUUUUACCUUUACCAGCACAAAAUAAGCAUGCCUCACUGGGCAAAAACUGAAAAGCUUAUGCUAGUGAGGUUUUUUUGGAA
Molecule: long non-coding RNA, 858 nt
Filed under: Anser brachyrhynchus (Pink-footed goose)
Lineage: Eukaryota; Metazoa; Chordata; Aves; Anseriformes; Anatidae
Description: lncRNA (ENSABRG00000012097.1)
Source: RNAcentral